UACAUAGGGAGCAAGCGUUAUCCGGAAUUAUUGGGUGUAAAGGGUGCGUAGACGGAGGAACAAGUUAGUCGUGAAAUCCCUCGGCUUAACUGAGGAACUGCAACUAAAACUAUUCCCCUUGAGUGUCGGAGAGGAAAGUGGAAUUCCUAGUGUAGCGGUGAAAUGCGUAGAUAUUAGGAGGAACACCAGUGGCGAAGGCGACUUUCUGGACGAUAACUGACGUUGAGGCACGAAAGUGUGGGGAGCAAACAGG
This 253-nucleotide ribosomal RNA is filed under the name uncultured bacterium. RNAcentral describes it as "partial 16S ribosomal RNA". It matches the Rfam family "Bacterial small subunit ribosomal RNA", at positions 524 to 776 of the family's 1533-position model. The record is from RNAcentral.